Schistosoma mansoni is the source of this 48-nucleotide non-coding RNA. The record is from Rfam. NCBI's taxonomy places the organism in Eukaryota, Metazoa, Platyhelminthes, Trematoda, Strigeidida, Schistosomatidae.
AUCCAGCUGACGAGCCCCACAUAGGACGAAACGCGCGUCGAACUGGAC